Molecule: non-coding RNA, 71 nt
Organism: Perca fluviatilis (European perch)
Lineage: Eukaryota; Metazoa; Chordata; Actinopteri; Perciformes; Percidae
Source: the annotation of a RefSeq genome assembly
ACCAGGAUGGCCGAGUGGUUAAGGCGUUGGCCUUAAGAUCCAAUGGGUGGGUUCGAACCCCACUUCUGGUA